Molecule: long non-coding RNA, 250 nt
Filed under: Pan troglodytes (chimpanzee)
Lineage: Eukaryota; Metazoa; Chordata; Mammalia; Primates; Hominidae
Description: long non-coding RNA NONPTRT015807
Source: RNAcentral
CAAUGUUACAUAUAUUAUAAUAAUUCAAUCCAAAAAAAUAACUGGAGGUGAAGAGAUGAGGUUAAGUCAGCAUAUCUUCUUGUGGGAAAUCCUUGCUGGAUGCCAGGGUGCAACCUGCUCUUUUCUGACUGCCUUUAGGUCAUCAGAAUUUCUUGAAUUUACCAAUGAACCAUCAUCAAGUUAAAUGGCAUCUGGUUGCGAAAAUCAACCCCAAUCAUUGUUUUUAAAAACAUUUGGAGAGUUCAGUAAG